AUUAUGUUUAAGAAACACUUUUCAUUAUAAACCCUUCAGAGUGUGCAUGAGCACAUUAAAGGUUCUUAGUAGUCCUAUAGUAACUUAAUCUGUUUAACUUUGUUUAACCCUCUAUUUUUCAAACUUUUAUGAACAUACAGUCCUUUUAUGUGGGUGCAGAAAGAGUCAGAGUGUGAAUCAAAAAGGAUCAGGUUAUUCCCAUUGUUAUUUUUUGUGUCAUGUGCCAUCCCCACAUCCCCUUCUUCUCUUUCCAGAUGAAAGUCCCUAGGUAGUUUUAUUUUUUUAAUUAUGAACUGUGGUGCUGAAGGAUAAAGUGGUGACCUAAGCAGCACGUUCCAAACCCGGGUGUCACUGACUUGCUCUGACCCCAUCCAAGUAACUUCCUGUCUCUGCCUCUGGGAGGGAAGAGGAAAUGAUGAAGAGGCCUUGGAACACUGGUGAAAAAUUCCACAUCUGCCUUCUUCUGAGGAGGUGCAGUUAGUGUCACUGGGGACCCAUUUGGAACAGAACCAGCAAGGGGGUUGGGUACCCCUCACCAAGGCAGUACCCAGCUGAUCAUUAAGGCUUAGGGUAUGAGGGCUUCUGGUUGCCUAGAGGCACUGACUUUGGCUG
Molecule: long non-coding RNA, 612 nt
Filed under: Marmota monax (woodchuck)
Lineage: Eukaryota; Metazoa; Chordata; Mammalia; Rodentia; Sciuridae
Source: RNAcentral